RNAcentral lists this ribosomal RNA (449 nucleotides) under uncultured bacterium. RNAcentral's name for it is "bacterial SSU rRNA". It matches the Rfam family "Bacterial small subunit ribosomal RNA", at positions 12 to 507 of the family's 1533-position model. The record is from RNAcentral.
UUUGAUCCUGGCUCAGAACGAACGCUGGCGGCAUGCCUAACACAUGCAAGUCGAACGAGACCUUCGGGUCUAGUGGCGCACGGGUGCGUAACGCGUGGGAAUCUGCCCCUUGGUUCGGAAUAACAGUUAGAAAUGACUGCUAAUACCGGAUGAUGACGAAAGUCCAAAGAUUUAUCGCCGAGGGAUGAGCCCGCGUAGGAUUAGCUAGUUGGUGAGGUAAAGGCUCACCAAGGCGACGAUCCUUAGCUGGUCUGAGAGGAUGAUCAGCCACACUGGGACUGAGACACGGCCCAGACUCCUACGGGAGGCAGCAGUGGGGAAUAUUGGACAAUGGGCGAAAGCCUGAUCCAGCAAUGCCGCGUGAGUGAUGAAGGCCUUAGGGUCGUAAAGCUCUUUUACCAGGGAUGAUAAUGACAGUACCUGGAGAAUAAGCUCCGGCUAACUCCGUG